This 215-nucleotide ribosomal RNA is filed under the name Xanthoria parietina. RNAcentral's name for it is "partial 28S ribosomal RNA". The stretch from base 158 to 215 matches the Rfam family "Eukaryotic large subunit ribosomal RNA", at positions 1 to 58 of the family's 3401-position model. Lineage: Eukaryota; Fungi; Ascomycota; Lecanoromycetes; Teloschistales; Teloschistaceae. The record is from RNAcentral.
AUUGACCUCGGAUCAGGUAGGGAUACCCGCUGAACUUAAGCAUAUCAAUAAGCGGAGGAAGGUGAGUUCCGAUUUGGUAGGUGACCUUUGCCGGUUGCAUGCCUUCGUUGCCCGCUAAGCUUCCCAGUAGUCGUUGUGCAGGAAGCCUUUUGGCUUUCGACCUGAGGUCAGGCAAGAACACCCGCUGAACUUAAGCAUAUCAAUAAGCGGAGGAA